AGAGUUUGAUUAUGGCUCAGGAUGAACGCUGGCGGUGUGCCUAAUACAUGCAAGUCGAACGAGGAGCCACUUUACUUGUAUUCGUACUCGUAAAGAGGAUUUCCUAGUGGCGAACGGGUGAGUAUCGCGUUGGUGACCUGCCCCAAAGAGAGGAAUAACAGUUUGAAAAGACUGCUAAUACCUCAUGUUGUCAUGGUUUUUAGAAACCCAUGUCUAAAGGAGACUUGUCUUCACUUUGGGAGGGACCUGCGUCCCAUCAGCUAGUUGGUAAGGUAAUGGCUUACCAAGGCUACGACGGGUAGGGGACCUGAGAGGGUGGCCCCCCACAAUGGAACUGAAACACGGUCCAUACACCUACGGGUGGCAGCAGUAGGGAAUAUUGCACAAUGGGCGAAAGCCUGAUGCAGCAACACCGCGUGUGCGAUGAAGGCCUUCGGGUCGUAAAGCACUUUUUGAGAGGAUGAGAAAGGACAGUACUCUCAGAAUAAGUCUCGGCUAACUACGUGCCAGCAGCCGCGGUAACACGUAGGAGGCAAGCGUUAUCCGGAUUUACUGGGCGUAAAGCGCGUGCAGGUGGUCAAGUAAGUUGGAUGUGAAAUCUCCCGGCUCAACUGGGUGAGGUCGUUCAAAACUGCUAGACUAGAGGACGGUAGAGGAAAGUGGAAUUCCCGGUGUAGUGGUGAAAUGCGUAGAUAUCGGGAGGAACACCAGUGGCGAAAGCGACUUUCUGGCCCGUUCCUGACACUAAGACGCGAAAGCUAGGGUAGCAAACGGGAUUAGAGACCCCGGUAGUCCUAGCCGUAAACGAUGUCAACUAGGCGUUGGUGGGUU
Molecule: ribosomal RNA, 831 nt
Filed under: uncultured Chloroflexota bacterium
Lineage: Bacteria; Bacillati; Chloroflexota
Description: bacterial SSU rRNA
Rfam family: Bacterial small subunit ribosomal RNA
Source: RNAcentral